GCUGAUGUGGCACAGCCGGUAGCGCAAGUGAUUCGUAAUCACUAGGUCGGGGGUUCGAAUCCCCCCAUCAGCUCCA
This 76-nucleotide transfer RNA is filed under the name Clostridiales bacterium. RNAcentral describes it as "tRNA-Thr". It matches the Rfam family "tRNA". Rfam says of the family: Transfer RNA (tRNA) molecules are approximately 80 nucleotides in length. Their secondary structure includes four short double-helical elements and three loops (D, anti-codon, and T loops). Further hydrogen bonds mediate the characteristic L-shaped molecular structure. tRNAs have two regions of fundamental functional importance: the anti-codon, which is responsible for specific mRNA codon recognition, and the 3' end, to which the tRNAs corresponding amino acid is attached (by aminoacyl-tRNA synthetases). tRNAs cope with the degeneracy of the genetic code in two manners: having more than one tRNA (with a specific anti-codon) for a particular amino acid; and 'wobble' base-pairing, i.e. permitting non-standard base-pairing at the 3rd anti-codon position. Lineage: Bacteria; Bacillati; Bacillota; Clostridia; Eubacteriales. The record is from RNAcentral.